RNAcentral lists this ribosomal RNA (450 nucleotides) under uncultured prokaryote. Its description in RNAcentral is "bacterial SSU rRNA". It matches the Rfam family "Bacterial small subunit ribosomal RNA", at positions 355 to 796 of the family's 1533-position model. The record is from RNAcentral.
UCGGGAAUUUUGGGCAAUGGGCGAAAGCCUGACCCAGCAACGCCGCGUGAGGGAUGAAGGCCCUCGGGUCGUAAACCUCUGUCGGGAGGGAAGAACGGUAGCCCUUCGACCAGGUGGGCUGCCUGACGGUACCUCCAAAGGAAGGUCCGGGAAACAGCGUGCCAGCAGCCGCGGUAAUACGGAGGGACCAAGCGUUGUUCGGAAUCAUUGGGCGUAAAGCGCGUGUAGGCGGCUUGGCAAGUCGGGUGUGAAAUCCCGGGGCCCAGCCCCGGAACUGCACUCGAAACUGCCUCGCUAGAGUCCCGGAGAGGAAGGCGGAAUUCCCGGUGUAGAGGUGAAAUUCGUAGAUAUCGGGAGGAACACCAGUGGCGAAGGCGGCCUUCUGGACGGUGACUGACGCUGGGACGCGAAAGCGUGGGGAGCAAACAGGAUUAGAUACCCCGGUAGUCC